Molecule: ribosomal RNA, 477 nt
Filed under: uncultured Actinomycetes bacterium
Lineage: Bacteria; Bacillati; Actinomycetota; Actinomycetes
Description: bacterial SSU rRNA
Rfam family: Bacterial small subunit ribosomal RNA
Source: RNAcentral
AGGACGAACGCUGGCGGCGUGCUUAACACAUGCAAGUCGAGCGGUAAGGCCCCUUCGGGGGUACACGAGCGGCGAACGGGUGAGUAACACGUGAGCAACCUGCCCCUGACUCCGGGAUAAGCGGUGGAAACGCCGUCUAAUACCGGAUACGACCCUCCGCCUCAUGGCGGCGGGUGGAAAGUUUUUUCGGUCGGGGAUGGGCUCGCGGCCUAUCAGCUUGUUGGUGGGGUAACGGCCUACCAAGGCGAUUACGGGUAGCCGGCCUGAGAGGGCGACCGGCCACACUGGGACUGAGACACGGCCCAGACUCCUGCGGGAGGCAGCAGUGGGGAAUCUUGCGCAAUGGGCGGAAGCCUGACGCAGCGACGCCGCGUGGGGGAUGACGGCCUUCGGGUUGUAAACCUCUUUUACCACUCACGCAGGCCCCGGGUUUUCUCGGGGUUGACGGUAGGUGGGGAAUAAGGACCGGCUAACUAC